This is a non-coding RNA of Clostridium sp. CAG:628, 111 nucleotides long. The record is from Rfam. Lineage: Bacteria; Bacillati; Bacillota; Clostridia; Eubacteriales; Clostridiaceae.
AUACUUUACAUGAGUUCGCCGUAGACAGUAGGUAACUAAUAAAUCCUACCGAGGAAAACUAAACUUUUAAAGAAGUUUUCCUUGUACGGAAAACUUUUUAUUAAUAUUAUG